This 281-nucleotide long non-coding RNA is filed under the name Brassica napus (rape). RNAcentral's name for it is "long non-coding RNA (BNAP_LNC023293)". The record is from RNAcentral. Lineage: Eukaryota; Viridiplantae; Streptophyta; Magnoliopsida; Brassicales; Brassicaceae.
GGUUGUGAGAUUAGAAGCUGCUUGGUCAGAGACUAACAAGAACGGCAGACUGGGAUGAAUAGUGAUGAACCAUGAACAGAGUAUCCCGGGAAUGAGAGGAGUAAGUUUUAUUUCCUCUGCACUAGUGGCGAAGGGCCUAUAUUGCGCUCAGGGAUGUGGUGGCUACUUGUCGGAACUUAGAAUUAAGAGCGAUGUGAUUUGAGUUUGACUCCACCCAGUUAAUCAAAGCUCUAUGGAAUCUUGUCUGACAUCCUGCUAAUGUCAAAUGAAUUUGAAUCUUU